AAUCAUCGCUGAUCGGUUGGUUCCCGGAAUGCGAACGCGUUUCGGGAGUAAACGGGAACGUGACGGAUGGACCCAAGCUGGGCAUCUCAAUCACGGCCGACCCCGCGACUGUAGAGCGGCGUGAAUUUGUCGUUCCGGAGCAAUCCGGGAGAAGCCACUGGGUAUAAACCGCGAGAGGGCGGUUCGAAUCUGGGAAGGCGAGGCAAGUUCCUUGGUGUCUAAUCUAGACAUCUGACGCCGUGAGCCAGGAAACCUGCCAAGCGAUACGGGCAUAG
Molecule: non-coding RNA, 275 nt
Filed under: Ensifer fredii
Lineage: Bacteria; Pseudomonadati; Pseudomonadota; Alphaproteobacteria; Hyphomicrobiales; Rhizobiaceae
Also listed under: 1 other name
Source: RNAcentral